This 441-nucleotide ribosomal RNA is filed under the name uncultured bacterium. Its description in RNAcentral is "partial 16S ribosomal RNA". It matches the Rfam family "Bacterial small subunit ribosomal RNA", at positions 338 to 795 of the family's 1533-position model. The record is from RNAcentral.
CCUAGGGUGGCAGCAGUGGGGAAUAUUGGGCAAUGGGCGAAAGCCUGACCCAGCAACGCCGCGUGAAGGAAGAAGGCUUUCGGGUUGUAUACUUCUUUUGACAGGGAAGAGCAGAAGACGGUACCUGUCGAAUAAGCCACUGCUAACUACGUGCCAGCAGCCGCGGUAAUACGUAGGUGGCAAGCGUUUUCCGGAUUUACUGGGUGUAAAGGGCGUGUAGCCGGGCUGACAACUCAGAUGUGAAAUCCGGGGGCUCAACCCCCGAACUGCAUUUGAAACUGUUGGUCUUGAGUAUCGGUGAGGCAGGCGGAAUGCGUAGUGUAGCGGUGAAAUGCGUAGAUAUUAGGAGGAACACCAGUGGCGAAGGCAGCCUACUGGUCGAUAACUGACGGUGAGGCGCGAAAGCGUGGGGAGCAAACAGGAUUAGAUACCCUAGUAGUC